GAGGCUGCAAAGGAGCAGCAGAAGCUGGCCUGGGGAGGCCAGACAUUGGCAGUGGGCUCCCUGCUGAGGUGCAGGCUUAGGAGGUGCCCAAAGAUGGCGACAAAGAAACACAGGGAGGUAGCUUAUACUGAGUCAGACCCCCCCUGGUCCACUGAGCUCAGUGACAUCCACACUGACAGCAGCUCUCUGUGGCUUCAGACUGAGCAAGGAAAAUUUUCUUUGCACCUGAGCAAAGAAGAUUAGGUUAUGAGGAGAGGCUCUGAGAGUAAUAAACAGAGGGAAAGGAGGAAGCCAGGAGAGCUGACCUAAGGAAAAGUGGAAGAAAGGCCAUGUACACACAUGCCGUAAAUUUAAAGCACGUUGCAGAAUAGUCAGAAAGAUGAGCUACAUAUUGCCAGAGACUGAAGAACUGACAAAUACCACACAAUUUGAAACAACUAGCCAAAUAUUUGGCUGCGGUCUUCCAAUACCUGGUUUGUUGUGUUCUGCAAAUCCAGCAGACAAAUGGAGAUUAAAAGACAAUCACAGAUGGUUUAUCAAAGCUAAGCAAACUGUCAUGGCUUCCUAAGGAAAUAGGGAUAGAGUUCUCUCUAGGGAUAAAACAAAGCUUCCAUAUUGAAGAGACAGUAAAAGCACAUGAAGCUACAGAUUGCAAUUUUUACUGGACAUCACAAAGUUUAAAACUAAGCAACUCUGUGCUUGAAGUAAGCCCCUGAGAGUGAGUGGUUUCCCGCAAAUUAAUUCCCUGCUAUUUUGGGCUUCCUAGAUGAACUUCAAGCAACUGGUACAUUAAGGCAAUACAUUUUUCCAGUUUUGUUUACUCCCCAGGGAGCCUACUUUUCCUUUUGCUGUCCUGCCUUCUGUCUGCCCAGAAGACAAACAGUUUUGAUCGCAGGAAGCAAUAUUCAUGGCUUCAUGAGGCAUGCAACCUAGGAGAAAAUAAACUGCAGCAGCAUCUCCACUGACUGCUCCAUCCAUUCACCCUGGA
Molecule: long non-coding RNA, 988 nt
Organism: Podarcis raffonei (Aeolian wall lizard)
Lineage: Eukaryota; Metazoa; Chordata; Lepidosauria; Squamata; Lacertidae
Exons: 3
Source: RefSeq, a predicted model, not a curated record